Molecule: ribosomal RNA, 1505 nt
Filed under: uncultured marine bacterium
Lineage: Bacteria
Description: 16S ribosomal RNA
Rfam family: Bacterial small subunit ribosomal RNA
Source: RNAcentral
AUUGAACGCUGGCGGCAGCCCUUAUACAUGCAAGUCGAACGAGAAAGUUUCUUCGGAAGCGAGUAAAGUGGCGGACGGGUGAGUAACGCGUAGGAAUCUACCUUUCAGUGGGGGAUAGCUCGAGGAAACUCGAAUUAAUACCGCAUACACCCUUAGGGGGAAAGGGGGCCUCUCCUUGGAAGCUCUCGCUGUUAGAUGAGCCUGCGUGAGAUUAGUUUGUUGGUAAGGUAAUGGCUUACCAAGACUACGAUCUCUAGCUGGUCUGAGAGGACGAUCAGCCACACUGGGACUGAGACACGGCCCAGACUCCUACGGGAGGCAGCAGUAGGGAAUAUUGGACAAUGGGGGAAACCCUGAUCCAGGCAUGCCGCGUGUGUGAAGAAGGCCUUAGGGUUGUAAAGCACUUUAAGUGAGGAAGAAAAGAUUUAAGUUAAUAUCUUAAAUCCCUGACAUUACUCACAGAAUAAGGACCGGCUAACUCCGUGCCAGCAGCCGCGGUAAUACGGAGGGUCCAAGCGUUAAUCGGAAUUACUGGGCGUAAAGCGCGCGUAGAUGGUCUGUUAAGUUGGGUGUGAAAUCCCUGGGCUCAACCUAGGAACUGCAUUCAAAACUUACAGACUAGAGUACGAAAGAGGAGAGCAGAAUUCAUGGUGUAGCGGUGAAAUGCGUAGAUAUCAUGAGGAAUACCAGUGGCGAAGGCGGCUCUCUGGUUCGAGACUGACAUUGAGGUGCGAAAGCGUGGGUAGCAAACAGGAUUAGAUACCCUGGUAGUCCACGCCGUAAACGAUGAGAACUAGCCGUUGGAUCUUUAGAUUCAGUGGCGCAGCUAACGCAUUAAGUUCUCCGCUUGGGGAGUACGGCCGCAAGGCUAAAACUCAAAUGAAUUGACGGGGGCCCGCACAAGCGGUGGAGCAUGUGGUUUAAUUCGAUGCAACGCGAAAAACCUUACCAACCCUUGACAUCCAGUGGAGGUUCUAGAGAUAGAACUGUGCCUUCGGGAACACUGUGACAGGUGUUGCAUGGCUGUCGUCAGCUCGUGUCGUGAGAUGUAUGGUUAAGUCCAGUAACGAGCGCAACCCUUAUCCUUAUUUGCCAACACUUCGGGUGGGAACUAUAGGGAGACUGCCGUGAAUAACACGGAGGAAGGUGGGGACGACGUCAAGUCAUCAUGGCCCUUACGGGUUGGGCUACACACGUGCUACAAUGGGAGAUACAGAUGGUUGCGAAAGCGCGAGCUGGAGCUAAUCCCACAAAGUCUUCCUCAGUCCGGAUUGGAGUCUGCAACUCGACUCCAUGAAGUAGGAAUCGCUAGUAAUCGUGAAUCAGAAUGUCACGGUGAAUACGUUCUCGGGCCUUGUACACACCGCCCGUCACGUCAUGGGAGUGUGUUGUACCAGAAGUGGUUUGCCUAACCUUCGGGAGGGCGCCCCCCACGGUAUGAUACGCGACUGGGACGAAGUCGUAACAAGGUAGCCCUAGGGGAACCUGGGGCUGGAUCACCUCCU